Molecule: ribosomal RNA, 460 nt
Filed under: uncultured bacterium
Lineage: Bacteria
Description: bacterial SSU rRNA
Rfam family: Bacterial small subunit ribosomal RNA
Source: RNAcentral
GAUGAACGCUGGCGGCGUGCUUAACACAUGCAAGUCGAACGAAGCAUUUAGAACAGAUUAUUUCGGUAUGAAGUUCUUUAUGACUGAGUGGCGGACGGGUGAGUAACGCGUGGGUAACCUGCCUUGUACUGGGGGAUAGCAGCUGGAAACGGCUGGUAAUACCGCAUAAGCGCACGGUGCUGCAUGGCACAGUGUGAAAAACUCCGGUGGUAUAAGAUGGACCCGCGUCUGAUUAGCUAGUUGGUGAGAUAACAGCCCACCAAGGCGACGAUCAGUAGCCGACCUGAGAGGGUGACCGGCCACAUUGGGACUGAGACACGGCCCAGACUCCUACGGGAGGCAGCAGUGGGGAAUAUGCACAAUGGAGGAAACUCUGAUGCAGCGACGCCGCGUGAGUGAAGAAGUAAUUCGUUAUGUAAAAGCUCAUCAGCAGGGAAGAUAGUGACGGUACCUGACUAAG